RNAcentral lists this ribosomal RNA (229 nucleotides) under uncultured bacterium. Its description in RNAcentral is "partial 16S ribosomal RNA". It matches the Rfam family "Bacterial small subunit ribosomal RNA", at positions 568 to 796 of the family's 1533-position model. The record is from RNAcentral.
CGUGUAGGCGGCUUGGUCAGUCAGAUGUGAAAGCUCCGGGCUUAACCCGGAAAGUGCAUUUGAAACUACCAGGCUUGAGUCCCGGAGAGGGAGGUGGAAUUCCCAGUGUAGAGGUGAAAUUCGUAGAUAUUGGGAGGAACACCGGUGGCGAAGGCGACCUCCUGGACGGAGACUGACGCUGAGACGCGAAAGCGUGGGGAGCAAACAGGAUUAGAUACCCUGGUAGUCC